AUCGGAAUUUAAAAAGCUAACGUUUCUGACAAAAUUUUAGAAUCAAUGAAGUGAACCCAGUAAAACAGUAAAAGGCUAAAUGUCGCUCAGUAGGUGUGCAGAAGACAGCUUAUACACACACUCGUGGCAUACACUCAGUAGGUGUGCAGAAGACAGCUUAUACACACACUCAUGGCAUACGCUCAGUUGGUGUGCAGAAGACAGCUAAUACACACACUCGUGGCAUACACUCAGUAAGUGUGCAGAAGA
Mus musculus (house mouse) is the source of this 249-nucleotide long non-coding RNA. RefSeq annotates it as predicted gene, 53688. Lineage: Eukaryota; Metazoa; Chordata; Mammalia; Rodentia; Muridae. The transcript has 2 exons. The record is from RefSeq and is a predicted model, not a curated record.